RNAcentral lists this small RNA (198 nucleotides) under Ochromonas sp. CCMP1393. RNAcentral describes it as "partial Alphaproteobacteria transfer-messenger RNA". It matches the Rfam family "Alphaproteobacteria transfer-messenger RNA", at positions 145 to 339 of the family's 355-position model. From Rfam's summary of the family: Bacterial tmRNA, also known as 10Sa RNA or SsrA, is named for its dual tRNA and mRNA-like properties. Its role is to liberate the mRNA from a stalled ribosome. The record is from RNAcentral. Lineage: Eukaryota; Chrysophyceae; Chromulinales; Chromulinaceae.
UUUGGGGGCGAAAUAGGAUCGACGGACGUGUAAAGACGAGGCCUUCACCCGCUUGAGCUGCGUUAGAAGCUCAAUCAACAAUAGUUGCUAAUGACAACUUUGCUGAAGGUGAACUGCUCGCUGCUUAACGCAGUGCGUGGAAUACCGCUUUAACUCCUAGGGCAUCAGCGCCUUAGGCGGGGCCCGGAGGCGCCUGGC